CAAUAGCGUAUAUUAAAGUUGUUGCGGUUAAAAAGCUCGUAGUUGGAUUUCUGUGGAGGACGGCCGGUCCGCAUUUUGUGCGAGUAUCUGGUACGGCCUUUACAUCCUCUUGUGGAACGUUGCGGUGCUUCAUUGCAUUGCGCGGAAUGCAAGACUUUUACUUUGAGGAAAUUAGAGUGUUCACGGCAGGCAUGCGCCUUGAAUAUAUUAGCAUGGAAUAAUAAUAUAGGCUUUUCGCCCUAUUUUGUUGGUUUCUAGAGCGAAGAGAAUGGUUAAUAGGGAUAAUUGGGGGCACUCGUACUAGAGCGUCAGAGGUGGAAUUCUUAGAUUGCUCUAUGACGAACUACUGCGAAAGCAUUUGCCAAGGAUGUUUUCAUUGA
Molecule: ribosomal RNA, 380 nt
Filed under: uncultured eukaryote
Lineage: Eukaryota
Description: partial 18S ribosomal RNA
Rfam family: Eukaryotic small subunit ribosomal RNA
Source: RNAcentral